GGCGGGGUGGGGCCGAGGACGCCCCCGCUGCGCCAUGUUUUUUGCGGUGCCUGCCCCAGGCUGCCGCAGCGUCUUCGCUCGCAAACGCGCGCACGGCUGCGGAGAAGCGAGGUAUCCUACAUGAGAUAAAUGUGUUCCCAGGUUAUCUCAAGUAGAAGGAUGCGCAUUCACCUCCGUAUCUGUAGGGCUCCUGACUCAGACUGCUGGAAAACGCUUCAAAACUGCACACCAAAAAGUGGGUUGAGAAAUGAAGAGAAAUACCCAACUUGAAUAUAAAUUCCAGAAACGGCACUGUAUCUUUAGAAACACAUUCCUGAAGGGAACAGCAUCCUGUGUUUCUAUGCUCGUGAUUCCCAUAAACUUGGG
Tyto alba (common barn owl) is the source of this 366-nucleotide long non-coding RNA. RefSeq lists it as uncharacterized. Lineage: Eukaryota; Metazoa; Chordata; Aves; Strigiformes; Tytonidae. The transcript has 3 exons. The record is from RefSeq and is a predicted model, not a curated record.